GCUACGUGCGAUCUAAAAUGGGUUGGCACAAGAAACAGAGCUAUAACAUGUGGUACAGCUUGUAGAAUCCCGUCAAUUGGGUGAAAUGCCAAACCUGAAAUAGGCCAAUAACUUCCAAUAAGUGAUCCUUGUAAAGGUAAACAAUUAAAGAUGACUUGGUUCAAAAAGCAUGUAAAGGUAAACAAUUAAAGAUGACUUGGUUCAAAAAGCAAUCCUAAAUGCAAAGGUCAGAGUUUAACGAGUUUUUGACAAUUUUUUCACUGAAUUCCUCAAAAGCACCACAUUGAAUUCUAAAAUUCAGAAAUACCAAGUCACCGGACGUGCAAGAAAAAAACCCACUAAGUAAGCGAAUGUGUAAGAUAAAAGUUCCAUAAACGUGGUGUCUUCCUCUAAUGUAGAGGUCACCUGAUGUUGCUGCAAUUAUCAACGAAGUUUCUUCAAAUUCAUCAAUGGUUCCGCAGUCUUACACUCUUCUAUUUGUGGGUGGCUUCUACAUUUACACUGCUGUUUUGGAACUUACAUCCAACAUUCAUUAACUAGAUCAUACAAUGUGGAUUCGUGUCCCACACAUUGAGUGACUUGGUCAAACAAGGUGAGCUUUAUUGGGAUCAUAUCAGGUCACCUUCUGGCCAGAUAUGGAUUGCUUAUUGUCGAAAUUCAGCAACAAAGAAGGCAGUUCUAUAACAGUCACCUUUCUUCUUCUUUUUAACUUGUAACAAAGUAAUGUGACAGUAAUUUGCAAGGGAAGGCAUUCCUUCGUUGUCACUACUCAACAGUGACAAAUGAUAUCCAGAACAAAGUUCACCGGCUGUCCCUCAGAUCUGGUCAAGGUCUUAUCGGCUAUGCCAUGUUUGGUAACACUUGUAAACUGGCAAGGAACCACUUGGGAAAUGGCAUGAGAUAUUGCACGAGGAGGUCAGAUUUGGGUAAAGGAAUUUUAAGGCAUUGUAGAAUUUGCCUAAUAACAAAUU
Molecule: long non-coding RNA, 971 nt
Filed under: Populus tremula
Lineage: Eukaryota; Viridiplantae; Streptophyta; Magnoliopsida; Malpighiales; Salicaceae
Description: long non-coding RNA (PTRE_LNC002174)
Source: RNAcentral